This 266-nucleotide signal recognition particle RNA is filed under the name Actinomycetota bacterium. Its description in RNAcentral is "signal recognition particle sRNA large type". It matches the Rfam family "Bacterial large signal recognition particle RNA". Rfam says of the family: The signal recognition particle (SRP) is a universally conserved ribonucleoprotein involved in the co-translational targeting of proteins to membranes. Archaeal SRP consists of a 7S RNA and homologues of the eukaryotic SRP19 and SRP54 proteins. The record is from RNAcentral. Lineage: Bacteria; Bacillati; Actinomycetota.
CCGUGCUAGGCGGGGAGCCAGCGGUGCCCUGUACCCGCAAUCCGCUCUAGCGGGGCUGAAUCCCCGUCCGAGGCCCGGAUGGUCCGGGGCAGCUCUCGGCACGGAGCGUUGAAGGUCGGGCCCUGCGCGACGCCAACCUGCGAACCCGGUCAGGUCCGGAAGGAAGCAGCCGUAAGCGGGCGCUGGCGGGUGCCGCAGGCUCGCCUGGCCGGAGCUCCCGUGCGAGGAGGCGCUCGAGUCGUCCGCCGUCGACGGCGGGUGCACGG